GACGAACGCUGGCGGCGUGCCUAAUACAUGCAAGUAGAACGCACAGUUUAUACCGUAGCUUGCUACACCAUAAACUGUGAGUUGCGAACGGGUGAGUAACGCGUAGGUAACCUGCCUGGUAGCGGGGGAUAACUAUUGGAAACGAUAGCUAAUACCGCAUAAUAUUAAUUAUCGCAUGAUAAUUGAUUGAAAGAUGCAAUUGCAUCACUACCAGAUGGACCUGCGUUGUAUUAGCUAGUAGGUGAGGUAACGGCUCACCUAGGCGACGAUACAUAGCCGACCUGAGAGGGUGAUCGGCCACACUGGGACUGAGACACGGCCCAGACUCCUACGGGAGGCAGCAGUAGGGAAUCUUCGGCAAUGGACGAAAGUCUGACCGAGCAACGCCGCGUGAGUGAAGAAGGUUUUCGGAUCGUAAAGCUCUGUUGUAAGAGAAGAACGGGUGUGAGAGUGGAAAGUUCACACUGUGACGGUAUCUUACCAGAAAGGGACGGCUAACUACGU
RNAcentral lists this ribosomal RNA (504 nucleotides) under uncultured bacterium. Its description in RNAcentral is "partial 16S ribosomal RNA". It matches the Rfam family "Bacterial small subunit ribosomal RNA", at positions 28 to 506 of the family's 1533-position model. The record is from RNAcentral.